UUAUAUCGCAUGAAUAUCUAAUUAUAAAUUGUCUAUUUACAAUAAAGUUAAAAAAAGAAAAUGUUUAUAUGAGUUAACUUUGUAUUUGGAAGCUCUCUUUUUCAUUUUUAUUUCUUAACUGCUUUUUACAUUUUAGGUGAUCUUUUCUAUUUUAAUGAUUUUAAAAGUAUCUGUCAUUCGUUUUAUUUCCCCUAUCUUGGAAAGCAUCCAAAUAGUACAAUAGUAAUUUAUAGCCUUUCAAGCUCUGUAUGAUCCAAUUAAAUUCCUGUGCCCUCUGAUUCUAGUAGUUGUUAUUUUGUAUUGUGAUUGAAAGGUUUUCAAGUAUCUCAAAAGAGGGAGGUAAGAAAAAAAAGCGAUAAAAUUAAACAGAUUUUUUAAGUGUAAAGGGAACCAGUUUUAGCAUUAGUCUGUUGCAGAACUUUUAGCAUUUUGAAUACAAUUUUAUGCCACUAUGGGAAGUCUUUUAUGUUCACAAUGACUCUUUUUCCUGAGCACUCUCCACCUUCAUGAAAACUUCAAAAAUCCCUAUUACCAAAUGAGCACAUAUUCUUCCCUGUGGCCGAGCCAGGGGCUAGAGAACGGAUUUUGUAUUUUAUGUUAGAACAUUUUGACAUUUUAUAUAGUAUAAGAUUACUGCAGACAUAACUGAGAAAUUCUUUGGGAGGAUAAAAUGAGAAGACAGUGAAGAAGGGAUUAUAUUGUGUGCAUUUAUGUCUUUUUAAAAAAGCUUUCUUCUGAAAAGAAGUGCUUACAGUUGUACAAAGAUGGAAGUGAAUAUACCUACAUGUUGGAGAAAACUUGAAGAUUUUGGUCGACUGAUACUGUAAACCCUCCAGAUACAGACAAAGGAUGAUAGACUGAGGAGCAAGGAAAUCCACUGGAGAUGGUUUCAAGAUAUAGGAUCCUUAUAUGUGAGGUAUCUCAAAUGAAGUUGGAGCAUCCAUGUUGAAAUUGCUUCAUGUUGUGGAAAAAGCCUAUAAAAUUAGUGAAUGCCUGGAAGAUAUUAGACUAGACUCUCCAACAUCAAUAAGGACAGACUUCUUCCAGAGCACCAUGGGAAAGGAAUCUGGGCAAUUCUUUACUAAAGCUAUUUUUUAUUAUUUCCAUUCUGAGAACACCUGCAUAAAUGUCUGUGUCACUCCUAUGCUAUAUUACUUUUCAAUUCAAGCAUCUUAAAAAAAUUUUACAGAAGCUCCUAACCAAACAUUUCCAAAUUCCCACUUGAUGUCCAGCUUUGGAUUGAUUUUAAAAGUUUUUUAAAAAUAGAAUUCUCUCUGUGUAGGAGCACAAUUCUUUCUGCUUUUUCUCUGUAAUAACCCUAUAUUUGCUUCUGUCUUACCUACUUUGAGAUAGUGAUCAAGUUACUAAACAUCUUUUAGCCUCAGAAUUCUCAUUAUAAUGAGAGAUUCAUAACAGUCAGAUUGCUUACAUUUUGAAGAUUACAAAGCAUAUGUGUAAAUCACCUACUGCUUAGAACAUUGCUGGCGAUCUUUCAUAUUAGCUAUAUAUCUAGAUCUACAAAUAGGUUUGAUGACAUGCAAGUCCCCCAGAUAUUUAUGAGGAACUUCUUGGAAUAUUCCAGAAUAAGGACAAAAUUGGUUCAGAAGAUUGGUGUGACUCACGAGGUUGGCGGAGAGGAGGUGAAAGGAAGCCUCAUCUUGAUCAGAAGUAUCUAACCAGGAAAAUAAGCAUUUUAUGCAUUUAUUACCAUGCCAGAAGCAAUAAAUCUUUACCUUAGGUUUGUUCAUAUCACCUGUGUGACAAUGUUCCUUUAUCACAAGACUUUUUAACAUUUGCUUCUCUAGGCCAACAAUUCUCAAGAUUUAAAGUGUUUAUAACCACCUGGAAAGCAUAUUAAAUACAGAGGGUAGCAGAUGCUGUUUGAGGGAUUCUGCUUCAGUAAGAUAGGUUGAGUUCUAAGAAUUUGCAUUUUAAACAUGAUUAUUCAGAACCAGAGCAAUUCUGGUAUACCCCACUAACUGCCAUAUUUUCAUCUUGAAGAUUAAAGUUUUACAGUCUAUUUGGAAGUUUUAUUGUUGGAGAUAGAAUUGAACAAUUUUAUUAUGUAACUGUUAAGAGAGAUAGCUAAGAAUAAGACAAGAUUUAAUAAUAGUUCUCUACACUUAUUAGGCAGUAGAGUAACUCUGUACAGAAUUUGAUUCCACGUACUUAUAAGAAGUUGAUGGAACAACUACGUAAAAAUAAAACAUGCUGGUCAAGUUAAUAAUAGGGUUUCUGAUUUUACUAAUGUUUAUCAAAACCAUUUAAUAACCAGUUGCUUUCGUAUAUAUAUUAAUUUAUCAAAUCCUCAUUCUAGUUCUGUUUAGUAUUUUGUAUCCUCCUUUUACAGAUUAAUACAAAUAGAUUUAUAGAAAAUACUAGCUUGUUAAGUUACAAGGUUAGAAAACAGUAGGGCCAAUCUUGGUACUAAGACAGCGUGCAACUGGUACAACUGUUUCCUUAUCCCAGGGUAAUUCAAUUUUCCAAUCAUGAAAGGUUUUGUUUUUAUGGCAGCCACCAGUAUAAGCACGUAUUGGAACAACCAGCCUAUGUUUAUUUUGUUUAAACUGCUAAACAUUUAAUUUAUCUUCACCUGAUGAGUUAGGCUUUGAAAAGCAUCAGCAGAGUAGGCCUGUUUCAUGUGCUUUGUAAAACUUCUCAGGAAAAUAUCUUCUGAAAAAAAAUGUUUCAGGUAUCUUCUACACAUUCUUGUUUUUUACCAGUGUGCUUAUUAACUUUCACCAAUUAUUUGUAUGUCAUCUUUCAUUUAAAUCAAUUAUCAGUGAUUAAGCCUCGCUCAGUAGCUAGUCAAUAACCUCUUUUAAAAACAAAAGCGGCUGGGCGAGGUGGCUCAUGCCUAUAAUCCCAGCACUUUGGGAGGCCGAGGUGGGCAGAUCACCUGAGGUCAGGAGUUCUAGACCAGCCUGGCCAACAUGGUGAAAUCCUGUCUCUACUAAAAAUACAAAAAUUAGCCGGGCGUGGUGGCAGGUGCCUGUAAUCCCAGCUACACGGGAGGCUGAGGCAGGGAAAUUGCUUAAACCCGCGAGGCGGAGGUUGCAGUGAGCCAAGAUCAUGACAUCGCACUCCAGCCUGGGGGAAAACAGCGAGACUUCGUCUAAAACAAACAAACAAACAAGCAUUAUAGAUAGAUAGAUAGAUAGAUAGAUAGAUAGAUAGAUAGAAAGAAAGAAAGAAAGAAAUAGAGAUAUGUCCAGCCUCCUUUGUAUCUAGGUGUGGCUUUGUGUCUAAGUUCUGGCCAAUGUGAUGUUACCUAAAACAAUAUAUACCAUUACUAGGUGAUAUCCUUCAAGGGUCUGAAUGUCUGUUUCUCCUUCUUCCUUGACUAACUUGGAAAUUAGAUACGGAAUGAGAUGUCCUGGUGAGCCAGCUUGUAUCACACAGACAAAGAUAACUGUCUAGAUGUGGUAGAAUAAAAACAUAGAAAGGGUCUAGCUUACUGCCUUAAUUUAUAGAGCAAAACAGUCCAGGACUCCUUCUGUGCUGAAUGUUAUGUGAAAGAUGAAUAAGCUCUACUUUUUUAGCUAUUACUAUUAAGCCACUGUACAGGGCAGAAUAUAUGUCCCAAUGAAGUCACGCAUUCUUCCGUGAAUGUGUUACUCAUGAAUGUUUAGCACACUAUGGCUCCUUUAGGAAGUUAAUCUUAGCUCGACAAGAUUCACUGGGUCCUUAAACAAAGAAUGCCACUGUGGUUGCCUAGAUAUUACACAUGUACCAUAUAGAAGCAUCUCGUCUUGCACAUCUUACUCUUUAUACUAUUUUCCUCACCACGUUCUCCAGUGAUCCGUCACCAGCUCUGUUAUCCUUUUUGUCCAUCCAUUACAAAGCAAUGCAUACAUUUGUUCCUUUUUUCCAAUUCGUUUUGCUACAGCAUUUACCUUUCAUGCAUGUGCAGUGUGAAGACUGCAAAUAAAAGACACAGGAAUAAUAAACCCUGAGACGAACUUCAGAGUUCUUGCCUUUCUUAACAGCAUUCAACAUAAACUUUAAAAACCACAUCAGACUAUGCAAAUAAAACAAUAAGUGGAUGCCUUAAAGCUUCUCCCAAGAUAACAACAUCCAAACCUGUAUAAUCUACAAGAUAUUCUUCAUUGUCUCCUGCCCUUCGCUCAAUCCCUCACCUGAUCUAUCCUCAUUUUGCAUUCAAGACACAUUUUUUUUUCCAUCUUUAGUAUACCUGCUUGGAUCUUUAUUUUGGAGAAGAUUUUAGAUCUAUGUUUAAUUCCCAUAGUAGUCAAAGAAUGCCUUGAUGUCUUAUGGAUGCAGUGUUCUCCUGCUCCAUAAUGGAGUCUUCAGUUAUCUUUAAGUGGCAAUUAUUCUACAAAGAAUGCUCCCUACUAAAAUGACUGUUUUGACUAUGACACUAGCGUUCUGGGACACAGCCUGAGAUUGCAUCUUUACCUUAUCCCUUAAUACUACAGUUUGUGCAUUGUCUGACUAGCAGAAUGCAAGCUUAUUGUAUGCCUUAAUAUAUCUCAUAGCUGGCUGCUUACUACAAUUGCCAUAUUUUAUCAUUCUCCCUGUCACUUCUUUAAUGCAUCUCCUAUUCCUAAGCAUACAUGCUGGCAUUUUCAACUCAAUGUUCAACAUACAGUAUCUCACUUAAUUCCCUUAAGCCUCUUAGAUAAAUAUAAUGAUCACAUUUUAGUCACCAACUCAACAAACAUUUACUUAGCGUUUCUUUUGUGUCACCUAUUACUUCAGGCAAGGGAGAGGGAGAUAGCAAAUAGCCCCCCAGUUGCUCACUCUCUCAUAGGGAAGACAAAUAAGAUAAAUGUAAAAAUACAAAAACAAAAACAUAAACCCUCUCAAAAAAACCUUUUAAAUAUACAGUAAUAGCAUAAAACUUCAUUCUAAGAACAAGGAGCAAAUAAGAAAAUUGCUCAAUUUCACUGGAAGGAGAGGAAUGGCAAAGAUUAGAAAAUGUUUCCUGGGCAUCGUACUUCAGCUGAAAUUGGAAAGAUAAGGAGACAGACUGAGACA
This 5001-nucleotide long non-coding RNA is filed under the name Macaca mulatta (Rhesus monkey). RNAcentral's name for it is "lncRNA (ENSMMUG00000055228.1)". Lineage: Eukaryota; Metazoa; Chordata; Mammalia; Primates; Cercopithecidae. The record is from RNAcentral.